This 301-nucleotide ribosomal RNA is filed under the name uncultured bacterium. Its description in RNAcentral is "partial 16S ribosomal RNA". It matches the Rfam family "Bacterial small subunit ribosomal RNA", at positions 509 to 809 of the family's 1533-position model. The record is from RNAcentral.
CAGCAGCCGCGGGAAUACGUAGGUGGCGAGCGUUGUCCGGAAUCAUUGGGCGUAAAGGGAGCGCAGGCGGGCAUGUAAGUCUUUCUUAAAAGUUCGGGGCUCAACCCCGUGAUGGGAAAGAAACUACAUGUCUUGAGUACAGGAGAGGAAAGCGGAAUUCCCAGUGUAGCGGUGAAAUGCGUAGAUAUUGGGAGGAACACCAGUGGCGAAGGCGGCUUUCUGGACUGCAACUGACGCUGAGGCUCGAAAGCCAGGGGAGCGAACGGGAUUAGAUACCCCAGUAGUCCCUGUCUCUUAUACA